RNAcentral lists this ribosomal RNA (115 nucleotides) under Danio rerio (zebrafish). Lineage: Eukaryota; Metazoa; Chordata; Actinopteri; Cypriniformes; Danionidae. The record is from RNAcentral.
GCUUGCAGCUAGCUCUCUACAAAUCUCACAUGGUCGCCCACUGAAGCUAAGCAGAGCUGAGCCUGUUCAGAACCUGACUGGGAGACCACAUGGGAAAGCUAGAUUGCUGCCAUAA